UACGUAGGGAGCAAGCGUUGUCCGGAAUUACUGGGCGUAAAGGGUGCGUAGGCGGCGCAGUUAGUCAGAAGUGAAAUAUCGGGGCUCAACCCCGGCCUGCCGUCGGAACUGGGUGCCUUGAGUGGGCGAGAAGUAUGCGGAAUGCGUGGUGUAGCGGUGAAAUGCAUAGAUAUCGCGCAGAACUCCGAUUGCGAAGGCAGCAUGCCGGCUCCACACUGACGCUGAGGCACGAAAGCGUGGGUAUCGAACAGG
RNAcentral lists this ribosomal RNA (252 nucleotides) under uncultured bacterium. RNAcentral's name for it is "partial 16S ribosomal RNA". It matches the Rfam family "Bacterial small subunit ribosomal RNA", at positions 524 to 776 of the family's 1533-position model. The record is from RNAcentral.